Molecule: ribosomal RNA, 656 nt
Filed under: uncultured bacterium
Lineage: Bacteria
Description: bacterial SSU rRNA
Rfam family: Bacterial small subunit ribosomal RNA
Source: RNAcentral
GGGGAUAACAGUUGGAAACGACCGCUAAUACCGCAUAACCCGCUAGUAUCGCAUGAUACAGACGGAAAAGAUUUAUCGGUGUGAGAUGGACCCGCGUCUGAUUAGCCAGUUGGCAGGGUAACGGCCUACCAAAGCAACGAUCAGUAGCCGGCCUGAGAGGGUGAACGGCCACAUUGGGACUGAGACACGGCCCAAACUCCUACGGGAGGCAGCAGUGGGGAAUAUUGCACAAUGGGGGAAACCCUGAUGCAGCGACGCCGCGUGAGUGAGGAAGUAUUUCGGUAUGUAAAGCUCUAUCAGCAGGGAAGAAAAUGACGGUACCUGACUAAGAAGCCCCGGCUAACUACGUGCCAGCAGCCGCGGUAAUACGUAGGGGGCAAGCGUUAUCCGGAUUUACUGGGUGUAAAGGGAGCGUAGACGGUUAAUCAAGUCAGAAGUGAAAACCCAGGGCUCAACCUUGGGACUGCUUUUGAAACUGAGUAGCUAGAGUGCAGGAGAGGUAAGCGGAAUUCCUAGUGUAGCGGUGAAAUGCGUAGAUAUUAGGAGGAACACCAGUGGCGAAGGCGGCUUACUGGACUGUAACUGACGUUGAGGCUCGAAAGCGUGGGGAGCAAACAGGAUUAGAUACCCUGGUAGUCCACGCCGUAAACGACGAA